This 621-nucleotide ribosomal RNA is filed under the name Triticum aestivum (bread wheat). RNAcentral's name for it is "partial small subunit ribosomal RNA". The record is from RNAcentral. Lineage: Eukaryota; Viridiplantae; Streptophyta; Magnoliopsida; Poales; Poaceae.
AUGCUAGAUUUGCUUCCCAUAAUUUUGAUGAGCAUGAAAAAAUUUCAAGUUGCGGUUAGUACAUUCAGUAGCUUUGCUUUAGUUUGGUGGAGUGAAUAUUGUCGAUUAAACCCUGAUUUUAUACCUACUACUUGGGAUGAUUUAAAACUUGGCAUGAGAGAUAGAUUCGUUGAUGUUUAUUAUACUCGUGGCAUGAAUAAGAAAUUACAACAUUUAAAACAAGGCACUGACACCGUAUCAAAAUAUUAUGAUGAUUUAAAAACUACCUUUUUGCACUCAUUUUUAGAAGAAAGUGAAGAAGAUUGCAUGGAUAGAUUUUGGGGAGGAUUGAACCGUGAUAUUCAAGAGAUACUAAUGCAUGAACAGUGUUAUCCUAUGGACCAUUUGUUUCAUCUUGCUUGCAAAGCUGAACAGGAAAUAAAACGACAUGUUGCCCACAACGAGAACAAGCGCACGGUUUACAUUCCAAGAGUUGAUACGAUUGUUUCUUCAACUACUGGGCAUACUAUGACAACCACAUCCAUUGUUGUGAGGACUACAUUACCUACACUAUGUGACAUAUCACCACCGAUAGUGCCUACAUUAUCUGAGUUGAUCAUAAAAGGUAAUGACAAAGAUUAA